RNAcentral lists this ribosomal RNA (440 nucleotides) under uncultured bacterium. RNAcentral's name for it is "partial 16S ribosomal RNA". It matches the Rfam family "Bacterial small subunit ribosomal RNA", at positions 338 to 795 of the family's 1533-position model. The record is from RNAcentral.
CCUACGGGAGGCAGCAGUGGGGAAUAUUGCACAAUGGGCGAAACCCUGAUGCAGCGACGCCGCGUGAAGGAAGAAGGAUUUCGGUAUGUAAACUUCUAUCCGCAGGGAAGAAAAUGACGGUACCUGACUAAGAAGCCCCGGCUAACUACGUGCCAGCAGCCGCGGUAAUACGUAGGGGGCUAGCGUUAUCCGGAUUUACUGGGCGUAAAGGGAGCGUAGGCGGUUUUUUAAGUCAGAAGGGAAAGGCCGGGGCUCAACCCCGGGACGGCUUUUGAAACUGGUGAACUAGAUUGCAGGAGAGGUAAGUGGAAUUCCUAGUGUAGCGGUGAAAUGCGUAGAUAUUAGGAGGAACACCAGUGGCGAAGGCGGCUUACUGGACUGUAACUGACGCUGAGGCUCGAAAGCGUGGGGAGCAAACAGGAUUAGAUACCCUAGUAGUC